RNAcentral lists this ribosomal RNA (468 nucleotides) under uncultured bacterium. RNAcentral describes it as "partial 16S ribosomal RNA". It matches the Rfam family "Bacterial small subunit ribosomal RNA", at positions 28 to 507 of the family's 1533-position model. The record is from RNAcentral.
GACGAACGCUGGCGGCGUGCUUAACACAUGCAAGUCGAACGGAAAGGCCCUGCUUUUGUGGGGUGCUCGAGUGGCGAACGGGUGAGUAACACGUGAGUAACCUGCCCUUGACUUUGGGAUAACUUCAGGAAACUGGGGCUAAUACCGGAUAGGAGCUCCUGCUGCAUGGUGGGGGUUGGAAAGUUUCGGCGGUUGGGGAUGGACUCGCGGCUUAUCAGCUUGUUGGUGGGGUAGUGGCUUACCAAGGCUUUGACGGGUAGCCGGCCUGAGAGGGUGACCGGCCACAUUGGGACUGAGAUACGGCCCAGACUCCUACGAGAGGCAGCAGUGGGGAAUAUUGCACAAUGGGCGGAAGCCUGAUGCAGCAACGCCGCGUGCGGGAUGACGGCCUUCGGGUUGUAACCCGCUUUCGCCUGUGACGAAGCGUGAGUGACGGUAAUGGGUAAAGAAGCACCGGCUAACUACGUG